RNAcentral lists this long non-coding RNA (390 nucleotides) under Laticauda laticaudata (blue-ringed sea krait). Its description in RNAcentral is "lncRNA (ENSLLTG00000013316.1)". The record is from RNAcentral. Lineage: Eukaryota; Metazoa; Chordata; Lepidosauria; Squamata; Elapidae.
UGUGUGUGUUCGUCUUCGCGGGCCGGGCUGAGCCGGCGCUCGUCUUCUCACGUGGCCCGGUAAGAGGCGGUGGCAGCGAGCGGCUGGCCGGGCCGGCGACUCGUCCGUUCUCCUGACCUUCCCCGCGUUUUGCCCGUGGCUUCUGGGGCGGCGAGGGAGCGAGCGAAAGUCUCUCGGCUGCGGGAGGGCUGGAGAAAGUCCGAGGACGGGAACGGAAGAGAGAAAGUAGUGGAUCUGCAGGGUGGCGAUUGACUCCGGCUUUUUAAUCCGAACACGCAAAGGCAUGAGCUUCGUAAAUCCUUGGUUCAGAGAAAACAUCAAAGUACCGUUUAACUGAAGAAUAAAGGAAGUAUGAAAGAAAAACUUAUUGGACUCUGAAUUCUUGGACCG